UAGGACAGUGGCAAUUUUUACAGUUUUCACCCCCUAUAACUCUCCCCAUUCAUUAGUCCCUCUCUAUGGCUCUACCCCUUCUCAGACAAAACAUGUUUCAGUUUCUUGCCAUUCAUUUCAUUAGAAUGUCAGUUAAUUAUUCAAAUGAAUUGCACCAUGGGAAUUCACCCUCAGGUACACAUGAAGAAAUGUUCAACAUCUCUGACCAUAGAAGAGCAAAUCAAAACAACACUGAGAUUCUAUCUCACUCCAAUUAGAAUGGUAAU
Molecule: long non-coding RNA, 266 nt
Organism: Perognathus longimembris pacificus (Pacific pocket mouse)
Lineage: Eukaryota; Metazoa; Chordata; Mammalia; Rodentia; Heteromyidae
Exons: 3
Source: RefSeq, a predicted model, not a curated record